AGAAAGAUAGGAAAAGAGAGCAUGAGCGUGAGUGAGAGAGGCCCCCGGACUGGUGUAUGAACGCGGGCAGCCGGUGUGGCGGGCUGGCCUGGUUGGGACAAACGGAGGGGGGCCGAGGGAGGGGUAGGAGUAAAGUUCAUACUCUUCUAAGAGGAGAAUAAUGUGCCUAUUGUCUGGAGGCAACACAAUUCUCCUUUAUUCAAGCUGGCAAAGUAACCUGCAUGCAAACAAUCUCCUCCCUGCCCACUGCCCGAAAAAAAAUGAAAGAAGUAAAGAGUCUUCUACUUGCCACUGUCAUCUCAUUCUCUGAAAAAAAAAAACUCCUUCUGAUAAUGACAGCAAUAAUAAAGAUAAUAGCAGUGGCGAUGCAGAGCUAACGAGGGGUUCUCUAAUGAAGACGGCUCGCAGGGCUUCCAUAGAACUUUUAUCUCCCCGACCGCUCAUUUGGAUCGGCCAGCCACAAUAGCCCAUUGUGCAGCCCUCUCCGUCCACACAGACUCACAGACCACUUCAGCAGGGCUUGUUUUCUUUCUUUCUUUCUGUCCUCCCCUCUUUUAUCUUCCCCUCUCUCCUACUUUCACCUCUCUCGCUCGGCAGGAGCAACAGCCGAUGUCAAAGGUCGCUUGGCCUCGCUGACCACAACAAGCAAGUUAAUCUACCCCGGCGCGGACUCCAGCUUGUCCAAGAAAACACUCUAGUCCUUUUUUCCCCCCUCUCUCUCUCUCUCUCUCUCUCUCCCUCUCUAACUACGUGUCUCCCUCUCUCCCUCUCCCCCUCUCCCUCUCCUCUCUCCUCAGCGCUUUAAUUGCUUUGCGGAGUGUCAUAGCCGGGAAGCAGGGGGAGAGGUGCUGCACACACUUGCACCGGCUGCACCCAGCCAAAAGGCAGCACGUUCACUGGGCUCAGUGUAAACACGGGAUUAGAGCGAGACACGGAGCGCCCAGACCUUCCUGCCCUCUUUUUCCCUCGUUAGGACUUCUUCACACAACUUUGACUCCAUCACGUGAAACAAGAGGACACUGACACAGAGCUGGAGGAAGGGGAAAAAAAAGAGGAAAAAAAAAAAAACCCAGACAGGACCCUGAAAGAAGCUAUCACUGGCCGUCGGAGAGUAGCAGGUUAGUCAAAAUGUUAGCAAAAGGAGGCGAGCGGAAAUGAACGACGCAAAGAAAGUGUGUUUUGUUGUUUGCUUUUUGUAAUGAGGACGACAGCCGCGGUGAGGAUAAAGUCACUUGGUGUCUGGGUUUCUGUCGAAAGUUGUAAACAAAUGCAGCGGCACACAAGCACAAGCAGCAGUGUGGACAGACAUCACGUCAGGGCUUAUCUAACAACGCUGGGCUGAAUGGACACUGAGGAAUACUGAUGAAAAAACAAAGAACAAAAGUGACAAGAGCGACAGAGGGGCCACUCACCCCAGCACAGUGACACGACUCAAACAAAAACAACACACUCAUUAAAAAGCUGCUGAAUAUCAAUGUGAAGAAUGGGAGCUUAAAAGAAGAAAAAAACAUACACAUACAAACACACACACACACACACACACACACACACACACACACACACGCAGACACACCAACUCAUAAAGAUUUUUGUGUUCGGCUUUUGUGUUCAGUAAAAAUCUACUGGGAGUAAAGUUUUUUUUUUGUUUAAAAUACCCAAAAAAGGGGGAAGGAAGAACGAAGGAAGGAGAAAAAAAAGCCUUUGGUCAGUGCCAACUUACCAUCCACCAUGUCCUGGCUGAGAUGUCGUAGCAAAGCUGCCAUUUGAUGGAGCCCUCCGUGGUUUUGCUUGCCAUUAUGCUGUCAGCGAGCUUCAUCUGAUGCUAGUGCACUCACCGGAGAUAAGACACCUAAUUGAGAAAACAUUUGCACUGGCAUGUUGGGCAACAUGUAGCCCGCUCCAUACCAUAUGGAAUCAUGGGUAAAAAAAAAAAAAAAGCCUUGACAAUGAACCAAUCUGGAGCAGCCCCUGUGGCAAGAUCGUUCUGGACAGAGAUGGAGGCUGGAGACAACGCUCAGGAUGAGAAAGACCCCAUCAUGGCAUCAUAAUCAAGCACAUCUAAACUCUAUUUUCUCUUCAUAGUUUCAGUCCCAGUAAGUCGUAAAAUACUUUUUUUUUUGCCUCUAAGUGGAAUACGGGAAGAGGGUUUUAAGGUGACAAGUGCAUGAAAAGUUUUAUGCAGAAAUUCUGUCUUAAUUCUUUUUUUAGUAUUUAUCUUUCAAAAAAUAAAUUCAUUUAAAAAAUUACAAUUUACUCCACUAAUUUUAGAGAGGUCCAAGCUCUCUGUGAAUUGUACUGAACAGCCAUGCAGAAAGUGAGUAGAUGAGAUACUAAUACUCAAUACUGAGUGAGUUUUAGUCAAGUAUCUCUCCCAUCAUUUCAAAUGAUAAUUUAGCAGUAGGUGUGAUAUGACCACUGUGAGAGAUUUACAAGUAAAUCAGCUAAAGUAAAAGGAAGAAUGAACACACACUCUUCCUCCUCCUCCUCUCCCUCUCCCUCUCCAUGGUUGGGUUUGCUCCGAGACGGAAUACCUGAGCAGUCAGGGGAGAGCUGCUGUGACCAUCAAACAGUCCCCCCUUUGUCGACGUUACUCAGGAAUUUGAUUCGGUAUCCAGAUAUCCAAAAGGUAGGAGGAGAGAGAGAGGGAGCGAGGGAACAGGUAUGGCCGGUAUGACAUCUACACUAAAUCCAAAUGCAAAGACGGACAUCCAUGCUCCAGUUGACCCAGUUUUAUUUCUCCGCUAAUUUAGCCUGGUCCAGUCGCUUGUUGUGCAGGUUUUUAAAAAGUUUCAUGCUUCAUCUUAAGAGAUCAUUAUAAAGGCUACAAUUUGAAACAAAGUCAAACUAUAUUAAAAGAGUUGUUUACACCCAGAUUGAUUUGGUGUAUUUACAGUGCUUUAUAGAUCACAGAAUAUGAUAGACAAUAAAGUUGAGAGAAAUAAAUGUUUUUUUUUAAUUAUUUGUAAAUUAUACUUUUGGGCUUUUAAAAAAAACUUUCAAAAUAUUGGACAGUGACAAUAAUUGUAUUCAAUAUCACUUAAGUGGCAUUCAUUUAAUAUUUUUCCAUAGCAGUAAUGCCAUUUAACUUAUGUUGCAAAAUAUAUUUCAAACCCAAAUUAAUAUUAAAUUAUCAAAUUAUUAUUAAAUUAUUUUCUCGUUCUUUCUUUUCCGUUCCCUUCUCUUCCAGUCAGAAUCUACUGGUCCAUUUGACAGGUAUCCUUUAACCAAAUUCAUCUACUGGUCCAUUUGACAGGUUUGCUUUAACCAAAUUCAUCUACUGGUCCAUUUGACAGGAUUCCUUUAACCAAAUUCAUCUACUGGUCCAUUUGACAGGAUUCCUUUAACCAAAUUCAUCUACUGGUCCGUUUGACAGGAUUCCUUUAACCAAAUUCAUCUACUGGUCCGUUUGACAGGAUUCCUUUAACCAAAUUCAUCUACUGGUCCGUUUGACAGGAUUCCUUUAACCAAAUUCAUCUACUGGUCCAUUUGACAGGUUUCCUUUAACCAAAUGUAAAACCUCCAAACACUGAUGGCAAAAUUGACAAAUUCAUAUAAUGUCAGGAAACUUUUAAAAUGGCUAAAAUGAGCAAGCUUGACAAGCAAACUCCUAUGUCCGUAUUUGGUGGUGUCAGACCGUGUACUGCCCGUCUCCUGCGGGGGGAAGAGUCGUGGUUGGACACCUGAGAUGGAGGGGAAGACUACCACACCACGGUGAAAAUGAUUGCGGGACGCAGAUCUUUGGAACACAGUUCACAUGAACAUUGUGUAGUUGUACUUAGCAGAGCUGCUGUAGGAGGUCGUAGGGGUGCCGUUUACUGUACACACACCUCACGGGUCAGUGGAGGCCAGACUAACCUCUGCCACACGGACACAUGCUAACACACACACUCUUAACAGCACCGCUCUUUCUCUGUCUUUCACUCGGCAAAAAUGAGAAAAGCAGAGAGGUCAAGUACAGACAGUAAAAAUACUUACGAAUUCUGGGUUCUGUAUUUUAGAGUUGGUAGUUUGCUUUGUCUGAGAAUACUGAUUAAGGGUAUGACACAGAUUUAAAUUUUAAAUGGUAAGUUAACAAGCAAAGAAUUUUAACUUGUAUUACUCUCAACAUCUAAUGAAUGAAAAUGUGUUUUUUUUUCUAUAUGUAUUUGCAGGUUUGAUUUACUUAAAUGAAGGGAGCCUGCUUGCCUGACAGUCAACUGAAUUUUAAUUCCACUGUACCUUUUCUUGGAGUGUCCAGUAGAAGGCAGUGUUGCAUCGAUUUCAGGUUUUCCCCCAUUUCCUUCUCCUCACCUGAGGUUGUCAGAUGUCACUGUUUAGGAGUGUAGAAAGACAGGUACAUUACAUAGCUUCAACAGAAUGCAGCCUUUACAGAACAAACCUUGUCCCUUGGAUCUUUCUGGAAUUUUUUUUGACAUUCUAUGCGUUAUGGCAAUAUCUGAAUCCAUGGGAUAGCUAUCAUUGACCCCUCUUUGUCCCUUGCUCGCAAAACAAUCCAAGAUAAAUGCUACAAGAGAGGUAGUGUCCUGAAAAAAGACCAAAAAAAACAAUGAAUUCAGACAGAAAAUAUUAUUGCCAUUUGUGAUGAUAAUGAUUGUGAAAUCAUCAGUUCAAUCAGAUUAAUGUAGUGGUGGGUAGAUCAAGUCAGUGAACUGAAUAUCAAAGGAUGAUCAAUAUUUGGAAUCAUAUUUGAAGCGGGCAAUCACAUGGAAACUUUAAAAUGAAAUUAUUUUCAUUGUUCUUAUUUAAUGUUAUUUUCAUUGUUCUUAUUUAAGUCUACAAAUGAAACAGCAAAAGAAUGAAACACUAUUCCACUCUAUUCCAAGCUUUUUCUGUUUUCCCUUGGCUAAUGAGUGUCAGCAAGGCUGAAUUCUCGAGGCGCGCACCUCGUUUGUGAAACUCUGUCACUUCAUGCGCUUCUGCUUCCCGCUUCCCGGUGUCUCUCAGCGGGGACCACAGGGGCUGGCAAACACACACACUCACACAUUUUUUCAAUUCCUGCAGCAAUCCAAUAACUCACCAAAAUGUGUGGAGUCACUGGAAUCGCUUCCCUUUUGCUAACCAUAAUUCAGAAUACUGAAAAAAAACAUGAUUGUGGACAUCUGGUUCCUUUUCUGGCUUCAGUGAAACAGCUCUAGCCCUGGCAGAGAGCCCCGGUGCCACCCUCCAUGGCUCCGGCUGACAGAUGCAGAUCACAUCCACCACUAAAGAGGAGGGCCACUUCAGAGAACAAGAGAAUACAUUUACACACCACCAGUUUGACAAAAAGAGAUAUGUGAGGAUGAUGAUGGUGAUGAUGAUGAUAAUGAUAUGUUCUUGAUGUGAUGAAUAGAAUGCAAUGAUGCAAGGUAAAAGCAGACAUGGAAACAAUAUAUAGCCAUCCCCAAAACAGAUUUUUUGUUUUGUUCUGGGUUAUCUAACACCUGAAAAAACAACGUGUUUUUACAAUGGUUUAACUACAGACUACAGACUUUGGAUUUUGAUGUGUCCAUGCACGUUGUGGCAAACUGCGCUAAAAAAUAUCAGCAAAUAUCUGCAUCUGAUUUGGACCACUAACAUCAAAUCUGUAAAGCAAAACACUUUGAUUUACAAGUGAAAUUGCAUUCUGUGGUGUUUGGGUGUUCAGACAUUCUCCAACUGCAUACCUUCAUCUCACUGAGGUCUUCAGCUGGAAACUUCUUCCUGCUUUCCUGGCUAUCAAGUCCGAACGGACUUGCAGAACAUAAAAGGUUGUUAAACGGCAGAGGAGGGGAAGGCAUGGCACAAAACAAAUAUUUUUUCCUCAAUUGUAGUCAUGUUAGCAUACAUAUUAUAUUCAGCAUAGCGUAAACACUUCCUUUGAAGUCCCUGUGCUUUGGCCACAAAGUGGUCAUGGAGAUAUCAAAGCUUUCAGGGGGGAAGUCAUAGGACUGAGCAUGUUGGUUGACCGACCAUGCACCGACGGAGAGAGGACUGACGGGAACCAGAGUGUGAUGCAGUGGCCUUGGUCUCCCGCUCUCCCCUCCUCUUGAAAAUGAGCCUGAUCUGUUGUUGACUUUCCAUUUGACUGCAGUCUCUGGUCAAACGAGUUACAGAGCUGAGACACUAAUAGGGACCUGAUGCGCAAGUGUUCCACCGAUUAGAACCACACUGCAGCCGGUGCCAGGCCAGGCCAGGCCAGGCCUCCACUCUCCUGGGCACGAAAGCCAGCCGUACGCCUCCACUCUCCUGGGCA
Long non-coding RNA from Clupea harengus (Atlantic herring), 6211 nucleotides. RefSeq lists it as uncharacterized. NCBI's taxonomy places the organism in Eukaryota, Metazoa, Chordata, Actinopteri, Clupeiformes, Clupeidae. The record is from RefSeq and is a predicted model, not a curated record.